Long non-coding RNA from Carcharodon carcharias (great white shark), 210 nucleotides. RefSeq lists it as uncharacterized. NCBI's taxonomy places the organism in Eukaryota, Metazoa, Chordata, Chondrichthyes, Lamniformes, Lamnidae. The record is from RefSeq and is a predicted model, not a curated record. The transcript has 2 exons.
GGCCUUGCAGCGCCAGAAACUGCAGUGAACAGGACUGGGGCUGCCAGCAGUUUCCGGGCCACAAAUCCCAGGACUCCAUGACCAAAGGACUGAUGUACUCAAGUGGUGUGAACAAUUGCUUCUCGAGGAUGCCAAGUGUCCUGUUGGAUUUGGCUCUUGGCACCUGAUCUGCUGAGUUGGAUUUGUGGUUGAUCUUGAAGAUUUUAAAGG